CAAGUAGACCGGGUGACCGCUCGCUUUAAAAGGCGGGAGGAAAGUCCGAGCUCCGCCGGGCAGGAUGCUGGGUAACGCCCAGGAGGGGUGACCCUACGGAAAGUGCCACAGAAACAUACCGCCCCGGCUAAAGCCAGGGCAAGGGUGAAAUGGUGAGGUAAGAGCUCACCAGCGGCUGGGCGACCAGUCGGCUGGGCAAACCCCAUCUGGAGCAAGGCCAAAUAGAGAGACGAAAAGGACGCCCGGCCUAGUCUCUGGGUUGGCCGCUUGACCCUGAUGGUAACAUCAGGGCUAGAUAGAUGGUCACCGCCCCGACUUUUCGGGGUACAAAACUCGGCUUACAGGUUUACUUGGCUG
Molecule: RNase P RNA, 357 nt
Filed under: Dehalococcoidia bacterium
Lineage: Bacteria; Bacillati; Chloroflexota; Dehalococcoidia
Description: RNase P RNA component class A
Rfam family: Bacterial RNase P class A
About the family: Ribonuclease P (RNase P) is a ubiquitous endoribonuclease, found in archaea, bacteria and eukarya as well as chloroplasts and mitochondria.
Source: RNAcentral